This 3147-nucleotide long non-coding RNA is filed under the name Sus scrofa (pig). RNAcentral describes it as "lncRNA (ENSSSCG00060026315.1)". Lineage: Eukaryota; Metazoa; Chordata; Mammalia; Artiodactyla; Suidae. The record is from RNAcentral.
AGAAAGUGGUGCUCACUCCUUCACAUGGUAAAAGGUCAGAACAGAGUUUACCUUCCUCUGACCUGAGUGGAUAUUAGGAACAUGACUUCUGUAAAUACCGGAGACAGUAAUUCGCUCAGCGCCUUUCCUGUUUAUCUGUGCUUCAAGACAUUUUCUCUCUCGGUGUGGUUUUCAGUAUUCUAUCAGAGCUUCUAGAAAAGUCAUUCUGCCAAAAUAUGUAGUAUAUAAAAAGAUUUGUAAAAGUCAUUGAUUUUUUUUUAAUUAAAAUACUUCAAAUAAUAAAAAAACAUAAAAUAGGAGUUCCUGUUGUGGCUCAGCAGAAGCAAACCCAACUAGUAUCUAUGAGGUUGUGGGUUCGAUCCCUGGCCCCACUCAGUGGGUUAUGGAUACAGUGUUGCCAUGAUCUGUGGUGUAGGUCUCAGAUGCAGCUCGGAUCUGGCACUGCUGUGUCUGUGGUGUAGGCCAGCAGCUGCAGCUCCAGUUCAACCCCUAGCCUGGGAACUUCCAUAUGCCAUGGGUGCAGCUCUAAAAAGACCAAAAAAAACCCCGAAACCAUGAAAUAAAAAUGACCCAAAAGCUCACCAUCUAGAAAUAACAACAUUAAUAUUUUGAAGUUCGUAUUUCCAGAAUUUUCCCUAUGUAUGUAUCAGUAUAAAUCAUUUAAAAAUCAUUUUUAAUAAACCUAGAGGGCCUGAAAGUGAGUGACGUGAAAGAGAUGACUGGGUGUAGGCUGACGUUUCUUGGCUGGCAGUGUGGCUAAGUGAGAGCCGGUGAUAGUUUUGUCAGCAGACUCCACUUCUGGGUUUCGUCUGAACGUUGCCGUCAUCAUUUUGCUGACACCUUCUCCUUUACCAAGGUCUGUAGGCCAGGACCCCGGUACCACCCCCUUUCUGAUGGCCUCAUUAAAUAUUUCACGUGAAACAUAUAUACCAUCUGCUUAGGUUACAGGUAGAGUGUGGCCCAAAUAAUCAGCUGAAUUGCAAUGUGUGUGCUUAAGCUGAUCUGGAGAUGGACCUGCAUUUUCUCCGUAGUGCAAAAAUGCUGGGCUUGCACUGGUUUAAAAAGUGCUCCUGCUUCUGACCCCUAUUAGUAGGGCUGACUCUUUGCCAUUAGAGAUUAGUGAGUUUUCCUUAUGUGUCCAUCUUCUCACCUGGUUUCUCUUGUUACCAGUAUCAAACAUGUGCCCUGAUAGAAAUUUAGAGGAGGACUCCCCUUGUGAUGCAGUGGGUUCAGGAUCUGGUGUUGUUACUGCAGCGGCUCAGGUUGACACAGUGAUCUGGGUUUGACCCCUGGCCUGGGAAUUUCCACGUGUUGCAGGUGUGACCCCCCCAAAAAUUAGGGGGCAUUCUGAGCAUGUAGAAAUGAACUAAUUCAUUAACUUGUCUCUAAGAAUUGUGUUUGUUACCUUGGUAUCACCAUAUUCUGUUACUAGCCGUGGAAGUUACAGGUUUAUAUAUAAGCAAAUAAUGUAUUUUUAUUGAAUGAAAAGGAUUCUGAAUAUAUUAUGUGAAAAGAAGCUGGAGAAUAUGAGGGUAAGACAUAUUUAUCAGUCAGGAAUCGUUUUCAAAAUGAUUUUGUGCAUGGGUUUAAUAUUUCACACCUUGACACUUUGAUAAGAAAGUUCUGUUUCCAUUGACGGUUGAAGAGAAUGGCAAGACCCAGGUUUGAUCCCGUGUGGCUGCAGCUAACUCCCUUAAACUCUGUGAACUUCAGCUUCAGCAUUAGUAAAAAGAGGCUGCUAAUACCCACCUUACAUGGUAGUUGGGAGAACUGAAUCAGAUAUGUGAAAAGCAAAAUGCCUCCUAUACUGUUUGGAGAUUGGUUGGUUUUUCCCGUCCUCUGCUCCAUCUUCACCACAGUGGACCUCUCAGUGCAGGCAGGCAUGCGUCCAAACCUCCCGCUUCUAGGAACAGCAGCCCCAUGUUAGCUUUGGCUCACUUCUCCUCCACCUUUGGAUAAAGGCUUCAUCUAAUUGUCAUUCAAGAUCCCUAGUGAAUAUACAUCUUAAGCCAGCCAAUCAGAUGUGCUCUUCUUCUUCUUUUCUUUUAUUUAUUUUUCUCCUUUUUAGGGCCACACCUGCAGCAUAUGGAAGUUUCCAGGCUAGGGGUCAAAUCAGAGCUGCAGCUGCCAGCAUAUACCACAGCCUCAGCAUCUCAAGAUCUGAGCUGCAUCUGUGACCUACAUCACAGGUCAUGGCAACACCAGAUCCUUAACCCCCAUGAACGAGGCCAGGGAUUGAACCCACAUCCUCAUGGACACUGGUCAGAUUUGUUACUGCUGAGCCACAAUGGGAACUCCUGAUGAUUUCUUUCUUCAUGUUACUGUUAUAGCAUUAGACUGUAAUAAAAGGAAAGCAGUAGACUAAGGUCUAAUAAUUUAGAAGCACCAGAGACAUUGUUGGAACAAAAUGACAAGCCUUUAAUGACUAUCUUAGCUGGCGAAAGCCCAUACAAUUGCUGCAUGAAUAUUUACUUGAGAAGCUUUCAUUGGUAGGAAAGAAGUUGUAAACCUUACAAAUACAUUUUGUUUAAAAAACAUUAUAAACCCUGGCCAUUUUUAUAUUAAAUUAUCUUCUGAUAUUUUCAACACAUCCGUUUUGCUCCUUUUUCUUAUGAUAAGCUUUGCUUGAGGAAGGAAGAAUAGGAUUUCAUUAACCUCAUCUGAAUAAUAGAAGUAAACAGGUAGUGUCCAUAUCAUGCAAAAUUGCUGAAGUUCCUAAAAUCAGUCCUACACGUUGCUCAGAGGCAUUAAUCACUUUGCUGGUUACAUCUGUUCUUGGGAAACAGAACCUGCCUUGACUGUGAAUGGGGACAAGGUUGCCACCUGCUUAUUCCCAGUGUUAUUCGGAGCAACACGCUGGCCUGGUCGUGACUACACAUGGCUGCCUUGUGGUAAGAAGGUCAUGGCUGGUCAGGCCUUACUUAUCUUAUUUUCUCUCUUGCUGAGAAAGCAGAGAUUAUGCUGAAUACAACUGAAGUCAGGCUGGGCCCUAGAGUUAGCUCUAUGCUGUGUGCAGGGCGGGCACAGAGCUAAUAAAAAUCGAUGCAGACAGUUGAGCGGGAGCCCAAUCCAUGAUCCUAGUUCACAUUCUUCACCACAGUUGCAGUGUCAAAAAAAAUUUAAAAACACCCAAUAAUGGUAUAUGAU